UGUGUAGGCGGAGAGACAAGUCAGAUGUGAAAUUUACGGGCUCAACUCGUGAACUGCGUCUGAAACUGUUUCCCUUGAGAGUCGGAGGGGUAAAUGGAAUUCCUGGUGUAGCGGUGAAAUGCGUAGAUAUCAGGAGGAACACCGGUGGCGAAGGCGAUUUACUGGACGACAACUGACGCUGAGACACGAAAGUGUGGGGAGCAAACA
RNAcentral lists this ribosomal RNA (207 nucleotides) under uncultured bacterium. Its description in RNAcentral is "partial 16S ribosomal RNA". It matches the Rfam family "Bacterial small subunit ribosomal RNA", at positions 568 to 774 of the family's 1533-position model. The record is from RNAcentral.